Molecule: long non-coding RNA, 515 nt
Filed under: Monodelphis domestica (gray short-tailed opossum)
Lineage: Eukaryota; Metazoa; Chordata; Mammalia; Didelphimorphia; Didelphidae
Description: lncRNA (ENSMODG00000049804.1)
Source: RNAcentral
AGAGUCGUGGGUUGCCAUCAGAGCGCACAUACAUCAGACAGACCUGGCGCACACAAAAGUCACUUUUGCCAGGUGAUUUGUGGACUGGCUCUGUGAUUUACCAACUCUCCACUAGAUGCUACACCAAGACCAGCAAACCUUUAAUGAAAUCCAAUCAAGUUUAAGUGUUUGGAAAUCUGGAAUGGAGCCACCACUGAAAGCAAACACUGGUUGUUACCUACAUGGUGUCUCUGCCUUUAGACUAUAGUCAAGAUUGCACAAGCCUGAACAGCUACUACUAUAAAGGAGUUUGGAGCAUGGAAGCUGCUAUUUCAAAAGGAGGAGAUGCAGUCCUACAAUCAAAAUUACUUUAGUAAGAGUCUAUAGGAGAAAACUGGAUCUUCAAUGAAGUGGAUGAAUUCUAAGCAUUGCUCCAGAAAAAGCUAAAGAUUAGAAACUUUGAAAUGCAAACCACAAGAGUCUAGAGAAGCCAAAAAAAAAAAGGAAAAUACAGCUGAGCAAUCAGAAGAGGAUGA